RNAcentral lists this ribosomal RNA (1372 nucleotides) under Acinetobacter baumannii. Its description in RNAcentral is "bacterial SSU rRNA". It matches the Rfam family "Bacterial small subunit ribosomal RNA". Lineage: Bacteria; Pseudomonadati; Pseudomonadota; Gammaproteobacteria; Moraxellales; Moraxellaceae. The record is from RNAcentral.
AUGCUUAGGAAUCUGCCUAUUACUGGGGGACAACAUCUCUCAAGGGAUGCUGAUACCGCACACGUCCUACGGGAGAAACCAAGGGAUCUUCGGACCUUGCGCUAAUAGAUGAUCCUAAAUCGAAUUACCUACUUGGUGGGGUAAAGGCCUACCAAGGCCACCAUCUGUAGGGGGUCUUACAUGAUGAUCCUCCACACUGGGACUGACACACGGCCCCUACUCCUACGGGAGGCCUCCUUGGGGAAUAUUGGACAAUGGGGGGAACCCUGAUCCCGCCAUGCCGCGUGUGUGAAGAAGGCCUUAUGGUUGUAGCUUUCUUUUCGCAAGGAUGAGGCUACUUUAAUAAUACCUGCAAAUUGUGGACGUUGCUCCCAUAAUAGUCCCCGGCUAAAUCUGUGCCGCCAACCGCGUUAAUACAGACGGUGCAGCGUUAAUCGGAUUUACUGGGCGUAAAUCGUGCGUAGGCGGCUUAUUACAUCUGAUGUCUUAUCUCCGAGCUUAACUUGGGAAUUGGCAUUCGAUACUGGUGAGCUAAAGUAUGGGACUUGAUGUUAGAAUUCCAAGUGUGGAAUUCCAUGUGUAUCGAGAUCUUGCGUAUACUGGCGAAGGCAGCCAUCUGGCCUAAUACUGACGCUGAGGUACGAAAGCAUGGGGAGCAAACAGGAUUAGAUACCCUGGUAGUCCUAUAUGCUGUAACCAUCUCUACUAACGAUGAGUGCUUUGUGUGAUAUGGUGUCCCCCCUUUCGCGAUAAGUUUACCGCCUGAGUACGGUCGCAAGACUAAAACUCAAAUGAAUUGACGGGGGCCCGCACAAGCGGUGGAGCAUGUGGUUUAAUUCGAUGCAACGCGAAGAAUACCUGGCCUUGACAUACUAGAAACUUUCCAGAGAUGGAUUGGUGCCUUCGGGAAUCUAGAUACAGGUGCUGCAUGGCUGUCGUCAGCCGCGGCAUGGCUGGAUCAGGGUUCCCCCAUUGUCCAAUAUCCCCAUGGUGCCUCCGUAGAAUCUGGGCGGGUCCAGUCCCAUAAGGAUACUGCCAGUGACAAACUGGAGGAAGGCGGGGACGACGUCAAGUCAUCAUGGCCCUUACGGCCAGGGCUACACACGUGCUACAACAAAGGGUUGCUACACAGCGAUGUGAUGCUAAUCUCAAAAAGCCGAUCGUAGUCCGGAUUGGAGUCUGCAACUCGACUCCAUGAAGUCGGAAUCGCUAGUAAUCGCGGAUCAGAAUGCCGCGGUGAAUACGUUCCCGGGCCUUGUACACACCGCCCGUCACACCAUGGGAGUUUGUUGCACCAGAAGUAGCUAGCCUAACUGCAAAGAGGGCGGUUACCACGGUGGGCCGAUGACUGGGGGAAGUCGAACCAACGAGG